UACAAAGGGGGCUAGCGUUGCUCGGAAUUACUGGGCGUAAAGCGCACGUAGGCGGCUUUCUAAGUCGGGGGUGAAAUCCUGGAGCUCAACUCCAGAACUGCCUUCGAUACUGGAAAGCUCGAGUCCGGGAGAGGUGAGUGGAACUGCGAGUGUAGAGGUGAAAUUCGUAGAUAUUCGCAAGAACACCAGUGGCGAAGGCGGCUCACUGGCCCGGUACUGACGCUGAGGUGCGAAAGCGUGGGGAGCAAACAGG
RNAcentral lists this ribosomal RNA (253 nucleotides) under uncultured bacterium. RNAcentral's name for it is "partial 16S ribosomal RNA". It matches the Rfam family "Bacterial small subunit ribosomal RNA", at positions 524 to 776 of the family's 1533-position model. The record is from RNAcentral.